This 504-nucleotide ribosomal RNA is filed under the name uncultured bacterium. Its description in RNAcentral is "partial 16S ribosomal RNA". It matches the Rfam family "Bacterial small subunit ribosomal RNA", at positions 29 to 523 of the family's 1533-position model. The record is from RNAcentral.
AUUGAACGCUGGCGGCAGGCCUAACACAUGCAAGUCGGACGGUAGCACAGAGAGCUUGCUCUCGGGUGACGAGUGGCGGACGGGUGAGUAAUGUCUGGGGAUCUGCCCGAUAGAGGGGGAUAACCACUGGAAACGGUGGCUAAUACCGCAUAACGUCGCAAGACCAAAGAGGGGGACCUUCGGGCCUCUCACUAUCGGAUGAACCCAGAUGGGAUUAGCUAGUAGGCGGGGUAAUGGCCCACCUAGGCGACGAUCCCUAGCUGGUCUGAGAGGAUGACCGGCAGGACUGGAAGGGAAACACGGACCAGACUCCUACGGGAGGCAGCAGUGGGGAAUAUUGCACAAUGGGCGCAAGCCUGAUGCAGCCAUGCCGCGUGUAUGAAGAAGGCCUUCGGGUUGUAAAGAACUUUCAGCGGGGAGGAAGGCGAUGCGGUUAAUAACCGUGUCGAUUGACGUUACCCGCAGAAGAAGCACCGGCUAACUCCGUGCCAGCCGCCGCAGUAA